CGAGUGGCGGACGGGUGAGGAAUACAUCGGAAUCUACUCUGUCGUGGGGGAUAACGUAGGGAAACUUACGCUAAUCCCGCAUACGACCUACGGGUGAAAGCAGGGGAUCUUCGGACCUUGCGCGAUUGAAUGAGCCGAUGUCGGAUUAGCUAGUUGGCGGGGUAAAGGCCCACCAAGGCGACGAUCCGUAGCUGGUCUGAGAGGAUGAUCAGCCACACUGGAACUGAGACACGGUCCAGACUCCUACGGGAGGCAGCAGGG
RNAcentral lists this ribosomal RNA (261 nucleotides) under uncultured Stenotrophomonas sp. RNAcentral's name for it is "partial 16S ribosomal RNA". It matches the Rfam family "Bacterial small subunit ribosomal RNA", at positions 92 to 354 of the family's 1533-position model. The record is from RNAcentral. Lineage: Bacteria; Pseudomonadati; Pseudomonadota; Gammaproteobacteria; Lysobacterales; Lysobacteraceae.